AUGGCCGAGCAGUUCCGGCUCCACCAGCCCCGGGCGCCGCAGGCCUCCGGGCGUGAGCUAACAGACGCAAACGCUCUCAGAAGGAACAUUUGUUUAAAAAACAUUCUGAACUCCUCAGUGGCUGCCCUAGCUGGUCCCUCGGUCACUCGCUGUCACCUCCGACCGGACCGAGCUUCGCAGGGGUGUGGGGGCUCCGGAGGGCGUCCCCGCGGCGGGUCCGGCCGAGGGGCGCUGCCCGGCCGGUGCGCAGGAAGCAGCUCCGGCCACCCUGCGGCCGGGUCUUCGCGCCGCCCCCCGCCUCCCCUCCACCCCACGGCUGCAUCCCGCCCUCUCUCGCCCGGGUCCCUGCUGUCCCCGGCGCCCGCACAGGAAGCGUCCGCCUUGCGAUGGUCCGCGCUCAGGAGCAGGACCGGCCGGCGCCUCGUGCGCAGGCGCGCGUCAGCCCUGCGCGCCGAGGUCGCCUGGCGCCUGCGGGAUCCCGUAGCGCGUCGUCUCCAUGGCAACCGCGUGGGCGCCCCCGCCGCUGCCGGCCGUGUCGGUCAGCCGCCGCCCGCAGGACCCAACGUGCUGGCCGGACCCAGUGGCGCUGCAGACCCAGCAGGUUUAGGGGAGCCAGGAGGCCCCCGCCGGCUCACAGCAGGGUCCCCGCUGGCCCCCAGCAUCACCGCUCCUGCUGUGCUCCUGUGUGUUCUUCAAGGUGACAGUGACGUCCUGGAGCUCCGUGGGUCAGAGGGAGGGUGGAGGGUGUCAGUGGGAACCUUCUUGUAUUCCAGUUUUUACUCGGAAGUCAGGAUUUUUAAAAAGAGAUUUAUUAUUUAUUUUAUUUGAAAGGCAGGGUUACAGAGAGACACAGAGAUAGAGAGGUCUCCCAUCCUCUGGUUCAGUCCCCAGAUGGCCGCAAUGGCCAGAGUUGGGCCAGCGAGAAGCCAGGAGCUCCCUCGUGGGUGCAGGGUCCCGAGGACGUGGGCCAUCUCGCACGGCUUUCCCAGGCCACGGCGGGGAGCUGCAUGGGAAGUGGAACAGCAGGGGCUCAAAGCAGCGCCCUUACGGGAUGCUGGCACUGCAGGCGGCGGCUUUACCCGCUGUGCCACAGC
This 1094-nucleotide long non-coding RNA is filed under the name Oryctolagus cuniculus (rabbit). RNAcentral's name for it is "lncRNA (ENSOCUG00000032725.1)". The record is from RNAcentral. Lineage: Eukaryota; Metazoa; Chordata; Mammalia; Lagomorpha; Leporidae.